This 497-nucleotide ribosomal RNA is filed under the name uncultured bacterium. Its description in RNAcentral is "partial 16S ribosomal RNA". It matches the Rfam family "Bacterial small subunit ribosomal RNA", at positions 28 to 507 of the family's 1533-position model. The record is from RNAcentral.
GAUGAACGCAGGCGGCGUGCCUAAUACAUGCCAGUCGAGCGAACAGACGAGGAGCUUGCUCCUCUGACGUUAGCGGCGGACGGGUGAGUAACACGUGGAUAACCUACCUAUAAGACUGGGAUAACUUCGGGAAACCGGAGCUAAUACCGGAUAAUAUAUUGAACCGCAUGGUUCAAUAGUGAAAGACGGUUUUGCUGUCACUUAUAGAUGGAUCCGCGCCGCAUUAGCUAGUUGGUAAGGUAACGGCUUACCAAGGCGACGAUGCGUAGCCGACCUGAGAGGGUGAUCGGCCACACUGGAACUGAGACACGGUCCAGACUCCUACGGGAGGCAGCAGUAGGGAAUCUUCCGCAAUGGGCGAAAGCCUGACGGAGCAACGCCGCGUGAGUGAUGAAGGUCUUCGGAUCGUAAAACUCUGUUAUUAGGGAAGAACAAAUGUGUAAGUAACUAUGCACGUCUUGACGGUACCUAAUCAGAAAGCCACGGCUAACUACGUG